Long non-coding RNA from Sarcophilus harrisii (Tasmanian devil), 5169 nucleotides. The record is from Ensembl. Lineage: Eukaryota; Metazoa; Chordata; Mammalia; Dasyuromorphia; Dasyuridae.
CCUGAACAAUUGGGCAUGUUGAGAUUGGCUGAAGAAAUUGUAUAUGUGACAGAAGGAGUAACAAUAUCAUGAACUAAACUCAAUGAAUUUAAGGAAAAUUCUAGAGACAUCUUUGUGAAUGAAUAUGACCACCCCCUCCAUUAGAACCAUAAUAAAACAUAAGCCAUAAUUUAGUAACCACUCACACCAAAACACUAUUAAGACACACAAGAGAAAAAUAAGUCGUCAAUAAUACAUUCCAAUGAAUGGAAUUCAGUACACUUGACUUACUCAAGUGUGAAAGAACUGGGAUACAAACCUAGAUGCUUGAUAGCCAAAGGAGAACUCUUCUCAAUUAAAAGACAUACUCUGUGGUGAUACUGUUUAACAGAGAAAAUGAAUUUUUAAACGUGGAAACAGAAGAAGAUAUCCAGGUAAGUGAGGAAAAAAGACAAAGAACCAUCAUGGUAAGGGAGUCCAAUUCCUGGGGAUUUUUCUCAUUUGUAUUCUUGAAGGAUUAGUUUAGAGCUGGCUUCUUUGUAUUUUCCUGAAAACUCGGGGAUACAAUGAGGAGGAUGCAAAAGAGGCCUCAAAACAAUGUUUGUAACUUGGAGCUUGCUAGGAGUUGUGUGAGACUCUCAUAAUUUAAACUAAAACUGCCACAGACACAAUUAUGCUUAUUCGUAGGAAUCUGGAAUUAGGGGAAAAAUCCAUUUUCAACACUCUAAUGUGAUGUUAGUUUUUGCAAGUGGAACUAGGAAUAUAUAUAUUCACUCUAACAGGAUUAUUCCUUAUAAUCACUCUUCUCACCCUAAGCAAUUUGAAACACAAGUAAACAAGGUAAAUCAGAGUAUUGUUUCCCCUGAAAUUCUCUUGACAUCUUCUUUCUUGUUCAUCUUUUCAGCUGCCAAGGAAUGAAACUCUGCAUAGAAAAUACCCAAACUUGUAGAUUCAAGUAUAACCUUUCCAGACUAAUGAAUAAAUAUACCAUGGAUUUCGUCCUCUACACAUCAAAAUUACUUUCUCCAACUCCUGGCAUUCAGAUUUUUAUAUAACUCUUAGUGCUCUCCCCCUUACACCUAGAUAGUAACAUACCAGUUACCAAAUCUUGUCAGUUCCACCUCUUCCAUAUCUCUGUAUUUAUUCCUUUCUCUAUUCAUACAGCAAUAUUACACACUCUGCUUUGUGCUCUUAUCACUAUUUGUUUGCACUUUUUUUUUCCAAGAGAGAAAGAAAAAGUUGACUGAGAGCUUUUGAUUUUAAAAAUCAUAAUUUCUUCUGUUUUUCUCCUCCUUCACAGUGAUCCCCACACUCUUUAUAAGAAAUAACAUUUUAAACUAAUAAAAGAGAUAAAAGGGAGGGGAAAUAAUCAACCAAAAUACUCUCAAUGCAUUGAAAUAAAUUUUUAAAAAAUGAGGGGAGAAAGGUUCUAUUGGCAUCUCCUCUUUUGGUCAUACUUUCUCUUGAAAGUUUGCGAAAUUAUCUUCACUGAGAGGAAGAUAUUAAAGACAAAUUUGCACAGAUAUGUCAAUGGGAUUUCCCUUAAGGGCUUGUUAAUUUUGGCUGUUGGACAUUAGCUCUUCUAUUCUUUUACAUGCUUUAAUCUCUGUAACAUUUGUAGCCUCAAUGUUUUUGAAUUUCUUAUCUUUUUUAUUUGGACUACACCCUUAAAAGAAGUUCUUGGAAUGCCUGUCUGGCACUUUAAUCCAUUCUGCCAUGGAAGGGAUACUGAUAAAAAUGUCUAUUAUCUCCUUCAGAAAUCUUUCAGGAGGGAGAGGGGAGAGAGGAAACCCUUGCCAGUGAUAUAAACUCAUAGUAAUCUCAUUUUAAUGAUUUUCUUAUGUUGGCUUGCAUUCUCAUUAAAAUUGUCUUUUACUUCUCUUUGAUUUGAUAAGGUUCUCUUUAUUGUUUAUAAGGUUCUCUUUACUUUGAUAAGCUUUUCUUAUUAGGAAAAUAAGAAUGGUUCAAGGCCUGCCAGGCAAUUGGGUUUUAACUGUAACAAGGAGGGGCAGGCCUUCUUGAAGAAGAUUGGAAUAGAUCAUCACUACCCCAACAGUAAAAAAAUUGCCACACAAGAAAUGAAUUACAUAUAAAGAGGGAUACCACCAGCAAAUUAAGACAUCAAAGAAUAGUUUAUUGAUCAGACUGAUGCAUGGGGAAGAAUUUAGAACCAAAGACAGAGAGCAUUACAAAAUAAAAAUUUGUCAAGUUUAUCUAUGCCAUCUUCAAUUGGUAAAUGUUCAAAAUCUCUGAUCAGACAAUUUUUAGACAAAGAAAUAAGAAUUAUCUAUUGUCAUACAAAAAUAUUCUUAAUCACUAAUGAUCAGAGAGAUGCACAUUCAAACAACUCUGAGUUAUCACCUCACAGUUCUGAGAUUGGCUAAUAUGAGCAAAAAUAGUUGGAUGUUGGAAGGGAUGUGGGAAAAGUGGGACACUACAAGUUCUGUUAUGGAGUUGUAAAUUGAAUCAACCUUUCUGGAGAGCAAUUUGGAACACUAAUCAAAGGGAUAUCAAACCUGCAUCCUCUUUGACACAGCAAUAAUUCUAUUAGGUCUAGAAAAGGAUCUCUUUGUACAAAAAUAUUUAUAGCAGCUCUUUUGGUAGCUAAGAAUUAGAAAUCAAAUGGAAUGCCCAUCAAUUGGAGAAUGGCCAAAGAAGCUGUGGUAUAUGUUUGUAAUGAAAUAUUAUUGUAUUAUGCCCUAAGAAAUGAGAAGCAGGUUAAUUUCAGGAAAAUGUGGUAAGGCCUGAAUUGCUUCAUAGUGAACAGGACCAGGAAGUAGUACAUUGAAACAGGAAUGUUGUUGGAUAAAAAACUUUGACUAACAAAUUGAAUAACAAUUAUUUAACAAAUAUUUUCAAACAAAUCCAAUAAACCAAAAUAAUCCAAAAGAACAAAUGAUGAAAAUAUCUGUCUGCAUAGAAAGAACUGAUCUUGAUUAAAUAUUGACUGAAGCACAGUAUUUUUCAGUUUUUCUUUCUUUCAUUUUUUUCUUUUCUUUUAGUCUUCUUGUGUAAAAUGACUAAAAUGGAAAUAUUUUACAUUAUUGCACAAGUGUAAUUUGAAUCUGAUCGCUUACUAUUUCAGGAAGAAGGGGAAGGAAAGAGAAGUGAGGAAGUCAUAGGAUUUCAAACUCAAAAUUUUAACUAAAAUUCGUUUUUAAAAUAAUAUAUUUUGCUUUAUCUAACAAUGUUUCUUUCCCACAGUUGAACAAUUUAGAAGAAGAAAAAAAAUACAUAAGGUUUGCCAUACGAGUAAAGCUGUUUAGCACAAGAGAAAUUUGGGGAGCAAUAGCAGAUGAAAGAAAAACAUUAAAGGGGCAAAAAGAUUGUGUGGAGUAGAAAUAAAAUGAACUUCUCUCUGUCUCUGUGACCUGCAUAAGUAUGUUGAGUAGUAGCCAAUAUGUGCUUAGAUUUUAGAUAUAUGUAUUUAACCUCGAAUGAUGGCAUUUAUCACUGUUCAAGUUAUCAGGGUUUAGACAAUUAGUUGCCUGAUGUAUGGUGCCUCCUGGAACUAGGGAAUCUCCUUUUUUGUUUUGCCACGAAUAAUAUCCAAUUAAGGGGUGGGGGAGUCACCUAUCUCUUAAUGUUCUCCAAAUCAUGACGUAAUCCUUUGUAACUAAAACCUAUAAAAACUGUAUAUGUUAUCCCUUUUUUUAGCCCUUCUACCGUGAGCUUUCUCUCUUUCCUUCCUCAUGGUGGAAUUGCUCGUUCUCAUAAGAAUUUAUUAAAUAAACAACUUUUCUGCUUUUUACUUUGAGAGGUCUCUGAGUAGUGAUUUUUGGAUAGGAUUUUCUAUCCCUCAUUGUUUUGGGGGCUCAUCCAGGAUGAGUCUUUGAGGGAAAUGGCUGCGCAUCCUGAACAGGGAUAGGCGCUCCCACAGCUAGUUUUUUUGUAGUCUCUGGCUCUGAGUGUGUAGCCUCCCUCCCUUUCUGACAAAUGACCUAAGGCAGAGAUACUCAUUGAAAAGCAGAAUUGAAGACAAAAAGGAGAAAUAGAGUCCUGACGGAUCGGCAGCAGUCUGAAAAGAAAACAUGUGUUCUUGAGGUGAACUUGGGAAGCCUGGGGUCUAUUGGCUAGGUCAAGGGAGACAUGAGGGACUAGCCUUCCUAAAAAUUGCUUUGGUAGACUGCUAUUGACCCCAAUGGUAAAGGACUUUCUAAGGAAUCUCUCGUGACUGCAGGAAUGAGGGUAACAAAGAACCUCCACUGACAAUUUGGUUUGAGACCAAGUUGUAAAAUGGGACAGAAGCAAUCCAAAAUGUAUGUCAGGAUGAUAGCCAGGGAAUUCCAGUCGAUAGCCCACUUGGGAGUCGACUCAGAGACUGGGAUAAAUUACCCAGGUAUAAAGGGAAAGACAAGAAGAUAAUGAUUAAAUAUUGUUGUUUUGUUUGGGGCAAUCAAAAUAUUGGUGGUGGAAAUAAUUUGGCCAAACUAUGGUUCUGCUGAGGAUUUGAUAUGCCAACAAUUAAAUAUAUAUGUGAAUAAUAGAGAUCCAUCUAACCCAGAGGAAUCGGUUUAUGCUACCCUCUGGCUGCCAGGAGUUGCUAGAGUUAUGAGAAUUUUUCUAUGCGAAACGAAGGAAGGGAGUAAACCUAAUAAGGGAAAAGAGAAAGUAGAUAACAACCUGGAAUCUGAAGUUGGACAGUAAGAACCCCUUGCUGCCCUUCCACCUCCUUAUGCUGUGCCCCUCUUGCACCACCAGAGGAAGAUAUUUUGCCUCCUCCUCCCCCUCCUGUAGAGGCAGUGGAUUUAGGUCAGGAGGGUGUAGGCAGAGCUCACAGUGACUCAUACAAAAAUCUAAGAAAAGAAUUAGAGCAAUUAAGACAGGAUGUUCAGAAUCUCUUUCUUAGAGAGAAAAUGGAGCUGGGGCCAGUAGCUAAUAAAGUACAGAAUAUAUAUCCACUUAGAGAUGUUCCAUUAGGCGGGGCUCAGGGAGGUAUUGGAUUUGUAGAUGCACCUCUGUCAGGGAAUGAUGUUAGAAAAUUUAAGAAUGAAUUAGUUUCUCUCAUGGAAGAUUUGAUUGGGGCAUCCAAACAAUUGGAUCAACUUUUAGGCCCCAGCUUAAAUACUUGGUCAAUUGAUGCAUAUCUUAUCCAUAUUAUUCACUUGAGCACAGGCUAUGCGGGAAUGGGAGAGGAGGCACCCACCCCUGAAUGAGGGAGCAAUCCCAGCAGAGCAGAAAUAUCCAGUG